This 425-nucleotide long non-coding RNA is filed under the name Elaeis guineensis (African oil palm). RNAcentral describes it as "long non-coding RNA (EGUI_LNC045293)". Lineage: Eukaryota; Viridiplantae; Streptophyta; Magnoliopsida; Arecales; Arecaceae. The record is from RNAcentral.
UCCACAGUUUAUUAUGGCUUUCCAACAUUUUCUUAGGACAUAUGUGUUGCCAAAAAUGGAAGGAAUGAAUAGUUUUCUAUAGAAUUAAAUAAACUGUACCAUUCUUCUUGAGAAAAAUUUUUGCAUUCUUCGCUCUCUAAAACUCUCUGUUAGAAAAUCGGAUAGACAGCAUGUGUAUAUUUCAAAAACUCUUUUUGAUUGCAGCAAAAAAUAAAUAGAUUAAACUCUUUAACCCCACAUGCAUAAGAGCCAAUCUAAUCCUACCCAAGCUCAAGAGAAAAAUAAAUAUAUAAUCUAAAAUUUAAAAAAAUAAUAUGAGAUCAUAUCUCAAUACCUUAAAGUGGAUAGAUAUUCACCGCUAUCGAUGAUCACAGAUUUGUAGAUAUUCGAGCUGCACACGUAUCCGAUCUCUAUGGAUAUCCAUC